This 459-nucleotide ribosomal RNA is filed under the name uncultured bacterium. RNAcentral describes it as "partial 16S ribosomal RNA". It matches the Rfam family "Bacterial small subunit ribosomal RNA", at positions 339 to 795 of the family's 1533-position model. The record is from RNAcentral.
CUACGGGUGGCAGCAGUGAGGAAUAUUGGGCAAUGCCCGCAAGGGUGACCCAGCAACGCCGCGUGGAGGAUGAAUGCCGUAAGGUUGUAAACUCCUGUUAGAGGGGAAGAAUAAUUCCGAUUGCAUCGGAACUUGACGGUACCCUCAGAGAAAGCCCCGGCUAACUACGUGCCAGCAGCCGCGGUAAUACGUAGGGGGCAAGCGUUGUCCGGAUUUACUGGGUGUAAAGGGCGCGCAGGUGGGCUUGAUAGUUAGAGGUGAAAUCCUGUGGCUUAACUGCAGAACUGCCUUUAAUACUUCAAGGCUUGAGUGCGGAAGAGAGAGACGGAAUUCCAGGUGUAGUAGUGAAAUACGUAGAUAUCUGGAAGAACACCAGUUGCGAAGGCGGUCUCUUGGUCCGUAACUGACACUUAGGCGCGAAAGCGUGGGGAGCAAACAGGAUUAGAUACCCCAGUAGUC